Megalobrama amblycephala (Wuchang bream) is the source of this 422-nucleotide long non-coding RNA. RefSeq lists it as uncharacterized. The transcript is spliced from 4 exons. The record is from RefSeq and is a predicted model, not a curated record. NCBI's taxonomy places the organism in Eukaryota, Metazoa, Chordata, Actinopteri, Cypriniformes, Xenocyprididae.
AUGACAAUAAAUAAAUAAAUAAAUAUAAAUUAUUAGUAAUAUGACAUCACGUGAUUAAUUCUAACCAAUGAGACUGCUGGAACAGCAUCAAUGAACUGUCAUUCCGGAAUCGACUGGUACCGCAAACAGAUCAUUGGUUCUGCCCUUAUUUAUUGCCAUCUAGUCCUGUUUGAAGAAUUAACUGUGGCUCCAGCCAUUAAGCAGACCUGAACCAGAUGAUGAAGGUCUUCAGGAUCACCAGACACUACAGGCAGGUGUGUGAGAAAGUUGGAGCUACAUACUGCAGGACGUUGGUCCUCCAUGACCAGGACUGGACACCACUGUUGUCUAAGCCAGCCACAGUGGAUACAGUGAAGCCACAAACACAGUUCAUAGUUCUUGUAUCUCUUUUACAUAUUAAGUAAUAAAAAAGAUCAUGUUAA